GGUCAUGAUUGAAUUAGGAAAUAUAAGCGUUGGACAUGUUUUACUUUUCUGUAAGAGACUGGGUUGAUGAAGAAGCUAGCCUACUGUGAAGUUUCUGAUAGCACGCUAGCAUAACGUCAAUGGUUAGCAAUCUCGUUUAAAAGUCAACGAACUUUUCUGUUCAAAGUUAGCGUUCGCCCCCACCAUCACUACGUUAAUUUGAACGUCAAAUUUCGAAGGUUGUGUUGCCAAUACAGGUUAUCAAGGAACGUAGUGGUGUACUGGAUGGAGCUGCAAAGCCUAGCACUACCUUACACUGACAGACUUUGACUAGAUUUGGGAAAGAUUCUUGACAAGAUUGUAGUCUUUUAACUAAUAUAAUAUAAUGCCCCUCAUUCAAGUUUUAGGCUACUCAAAAGACUACAAUCUUUCAAGAAUCUUUCCCAAAUCUUGUCAAAGUUUGUCAGUGUAAGGUAGGCUUAAUCAGGAUUUCUGGAGCAAGGAAGCUGAAAGAAACAUUCCAUGACAAAUUGAUUGAUUGGUGCCAGGGACAGGGGUGGCAAUUGCCUCUCAAGGCAGACACCACGUUUGAGAAAAAAGGCCCAGAAGAGAUGUACAAUCAGAAAGUACAGUAAAGUGAAUGUUACUUGAUGGGUUCUUCUUUAGGAUUGCAUACAGAACCACAUAGCACACAAUAGCCACAAGCCUAAUGCAAUGUUUUUGUUUUCUGUAAUUAUUCUUUUUCUAAUAAUACAUACUGUACGUACACAUACAUUCUGUACAUACACUAUAUUGCCAAAAGUAUUUGGUCACCUGCCUUGACCCCCAUAUGAACUUCAGUCACAUCCUAUUCUUAAUUCAUAGGGUUUGAUAUGACGCCAGUCCACUCUUUGUACCUAUAACAGCUUCAACUCUUCAGGGAAGGCUUUCCACAAGGUUUAGGAGUGUGUUUUUGGGCAUUUUUGACCAUUCUUUCAGAAGUGCAUUUGUGAGGUCACACACUGAUGUUGGACAGGCUCUCAGUCUGUGCUCUAAUUCAUUCGUAAACACACUUCUAAACCUUGUGGAAAGCCUUCCCUGAAGAGUUGAAGAUGUUAUAGCUGCAAAGGGUGGACCAAUGUCAUAUUAAGC
Molecule: long non-coding RNA, 1110 nt
Organism: Sardina pilchardus (European sardine)
Lineage: Eukaryota; Metazoa; Chordata; Actinopteri; Clupeiformes; Clupeidae
Exons: 4
Source: RefSeq, a predicted model, not a curated record